UACGGAGGGAGCUAGCGUUAUUCGGAAUUACUGGGCGUAAAGCGCACGUAGGCGGCUUCCUAAGUCAGGGGUGAAAGCCUGGAGCUCAACUCCAGAACUGCCCUUGAGACUGGGAGGCUUGAAUCCAGGAGAGGUGAGUGGAAUUCCGAGUGUAGAGGUGAAAUUCGUAGAUAUUCGGAAGAACACCAGUGGCGAAGGCGGCUCACUGGACUGGUAUUGACGCUGAGGUGCGAAAGCGUGGGGAGCAAACAGG
RNAcentral lists this ribosomal RNA (253 nucleotides) under uncultured bacterium. RNAcentral describes it as "partial 16S ribosomal RNA". It matches the Rfam family "Bacterial small subunit ribosomal RNA", at positions 524 to 776 of the family's 1533-position model. The record is from RNAcentral.